Molecule: non-coding RNA, 4032 nt
Organism: Equus caballus (horse)
Lineage: Eukaryota; Metazoa; Chordata; Mammalia; Perissodactyla; Equidae
Source: RefSeq, a predicted model, not a curated record
ACCAGAACUGUAAAUUGCACGAAUAGUAAGUGGUUUUAUUAUCUAAUUCUUAGUCAGACUUUCAGUUGGUUUCUCUUCUGACAUCGUAAUCUGAAUAGUGUGAAGAUAACCCUGAUGACAGAGUAAGCUACAGACAGAAGGGGCACUGAGAUUUUUAGGUCUUGGAGGUUACCAGCUGGAAGCAGAAAAUGACAGUGGAGAGAAACUGGGUCCUGGUCUCGUGUUUGAGCCCUUGGAGUUCCUAUGACUGGACUUCACAGAAUCUUGGCUAUGCUUUGCACAGCUCCUGCUGCUCCGUAGUAACAUAUUGCCGUGCGAUGUCUUUACAGCCAUCGAACCCAGCAUCGAAUCUCAGACUUAUCACUUAGGAGUGCUAUAUAUUUGAAAAAGGUACUGAAUAUUUCUCCAUAUCAGUUUCUUAUUUUGCAGAGUGAGGAUAAUAACACCUCACUUGCUUGAAAUGAGGAGUAAAAAGAAAACACUUAAAACAAAGCACGGCGUAUGAUGGCUGCUUGUUAAAUAUGCUGCACCCUUUGUAGUUAAUUUCUAAGUCGAUGGGAUAUUUUCGGCUAGUCAAUGAUAAUUAUUGACCCCUGUAUUCUGUUUAUAGAUUUUUUCCUAUCCCUAAAUGUUUACUUGUAUCCCUAAAUGUUAGGAUAUUUCAUCUUUUCCUUUUACCUUAAAAGAGAGAGGGUCAGAAAGAAAGGGGAAAAGAAAUGUAAAUAAAUAUUACUCUUUGCUGCCUAGUUUGGUACCAGACAUGGCAAAAAAGGCUGUAGGCCUUCAUUUCAAUAACCCUUGAACUUGGAUUUUUGGUAGCAUAUUUCUUUGUUCUUGUACCUCCUUUAUGUUUAAAACUCUAUUUUCCUGCUAAUACUAUUUUCUCAGAAGAACAUUUUACUGGACAUUUUAAUUUUCUUGAAUGAUAGUGACUGCGGGAACUUCUGGUUUCACAUCCAUUUAGACACACCUGUAAUUUCAGAGGAGUUAUUAUGUGUUUCUGCAGCAUUCUAAUAGCUUAAAUGUGCCUUAAACACACAUGUUUUUAUUGUCAGUCUUCCUGUUUUACAGUCUCUGCAAUUCAGUCCUGCCUUCCCCACAUGGAAGACAGCUAAGAAACCUGCUCAGAUUUUUUUUUCUCGACUUCCCUGCUGCCAGCUCUUCUGCUCCCCUCUAUCCCAUAGGAAGCCAAGAGGCUGCUCAAAUUUCCUCUGUGGGGUAUGUCUCCCACCUGGCUUCUUCCUCUUCUGUUCCACAACAGGUGGUUAUUUUUGUACUGUCAACGCUCCCUACCCCCUGGCUGUCAGAAUGUAUUCCCAGUGGAAAUGCAGACAUUUGAGUUCCUUCCAGACUUCAAUGGGUAAAUUGCCAAUUUCCAUUUUCUGAAAAUAAUUUUCUUUUGAUGGAAUAAUCUUGUUCCCAAACCAUUCCGUUAAACCCAAAAACUGGAUUUUAGUCACACUUAAAAGUUAAAUCGGUGAUUUACCUGUUUGUUGCCGCUUUUCUUAUUUCUUUCAAAAGGUCUCCAAACGUGUAUCAUAUCGAGGUAACCAAUGAACAAUGAAAUCGGAAUUCUGGCAACCUCAUUUUUAAACCAUGUUGCCUCAUAGACUUCAGUGAACUUCUCCCUACCAUUAUUUUUGAGUCGGUAAAAAGCUAAUGAGUCAGAAUAUCUAAGGAUAGGACACAGGACUAUAAACUUAAAAAAUCUUCACCCCAGAUAAUAGGGAAUGUUAGUUUUGGUAGCCACUGGACAAAACAGUAUCUUAACAAUGGAAAAUGAAAAUGUUUAAUAUGUUUUUUUCCUUAUAGGAAGAGACUGGGAAAGCAAUGCCUUUUAUUUUCAGAAGGGGAAAAUGAAGGCCAAGGGACAAUAUGAGCAAAAUGAUAAAUGGCCUUAUCAAUAUAUAUCAGAUAUGAAUUUUUCCCAGCAGUCUCAGGAAUGUGAGAAAUGACACAUUAUAUUGUUUAAAGAUUUAUUGAACUUAAUUUUACUCUGAGCUCUCAUCUAGUUGAUCUGCUCAAAAAUUCAGUCUCUGUCGUUAUUGAAGAUUAUUCCGUGUCUCUUCCUGAAGGGUUGUGCAAAGGCUCGUAUCAUCUGAUACAGAGCAGAAUAUUACAGAAGGCCCCUCCAUUCUUGGUCCAUGUGGGUCAUCAUUAAUGGCCUCUCCAUUCUAGGCCUCAUGGUAACAUGGAGUCAGGAAGCACUCUGGCUCCGUCUGCACUUUUGGGCAUGAAAUUCUUGGCUUUGCCUGGAAGCCCAAUGCCUAGGGUGCACCAAAUCCCCCUCUGAGAAUAUGUCACCUUAUCAAACUCUAAGUGUCAACAGGACACUGAGGCUUGGAGCGCUGCUGCUCACAGUUCCUGCUGAUGUCUCUCCUUUCGCAGUUUUGGGUAAUCUCCCUGUCCUUACUCGCUGAUCAUUUGUUCUCCUACCCAUUGAUUUGCAAUCCUUUGCCACAUAUUACCCUCAGGAUGUGCUAUGAAUUCCAUGUACAAACAAGAUUAAAGCAGCUUUCAUCAACUUUUUCGUUACUAAGGAAAAAGGAGCUUUUGGGAAACAAAGGGCAAGGUGUGCAAUGGAAAGAACAUCAGCUUGAGAGCUCUACACAACUAGGCUUAAAAUUGGGAGUGGCCACUUAAGGGCAGGAGUAUGUCUGAGUCUAAUUCUCUCAUUCCUAAGGUGAGGACAGUAAUACUCACCUGCUCUAGAGGUAAUGUUGCUAAGGGGUAAUGUGUGUAAUACACCUGGCCCAGAUCAAUUGUUUUCUCGUUAUUACAUUACUGAUCAUUGACAUGAGGCUGGGUGGACCAUAAUGAACAAGGAAUGAAUUUAUAUGAGUAUUUAGGUGAUACUCUCAAGCAAAAGAGCUCUGUGCUUUUGAGUAUGUGAGUCCAAUUCUCCCUUUUCGUAAGACAUCUUUUUUCCUGUUCUUUCCUUCAACAAAUGCUUAUUACUUAAGAUAGAUCAUAUACUUUGCUAUAUUCUAAGAUUUUAAUAAUAUAAGCUAAUACAGCCUGUCACAGAGUCUAUAUUGAGGGGGGUCUGUGUGGGAGAGCAGUCAAUUAAAAUGAAGUGUGUUGAGUGCUUAGACAGAUGUUGUAAAGGGAACCUUGUAUGCACGGGGACAUCAGGCCAAGCCUGAGUGAUGAAGAGAAGUGAUAUCUAAGCAAAGAGAUCAUCAUCUUUUAUCUUAUUAAUUAAGGGACUAUCUGUUGCUUAGCUUUCUCUCAAGGGGCAAAAUUUUCUGUAGUUACUUGGCUCUGCUGUUCACACGUUAGAACACAGUAAGUACUUUUGCCAAAAUUCUCUUCCCUUGAUUAACUUAUAUCUAGUUGCAUCAGGUAAAAAAAAAAAAAAAGAAAAAGGAAAAAGGCUCUGAAGUCCACAGUGAUGUGUCUCAUGUUCUUUCUUCUCAUAACUUGCCUGUUGAAAAGAUUAAGGUGGUGAUAUUCCUUUUUCUCCUUAAACUGGGGAUAUUUUCUUCAUAAAAAAUUCUUAUUGGGAUAUCAAAUAUUUAAAACAGAAUAAAACCCAAGACGUGUUCCUUUUAAUUAAGAGCUUCUCAAAUUUUCUUCACCCUCUCCCCAUUACUCUUUCUUAUCACUCCAGAAAUCUCUCCACAGAGUAGUUUAGUUUGGAUAAAGUAAGACAGGUCUAGGGAGACACCAGGCUUUCUGGAAGGGAAUUCUGACGAAGUGAUGCAAACUGCCAUACCUGAAGUUCAGGAAGAUGGUCAGGAUGACAUUUCAAAUUACUUCCAAUGGUAAGAUUUUAUACGUAAAGGAUGCUUUAUUGAAAUCUGAACACCUUUUAUUCAGAACAGUUUUUCUUGUAUUUUAACCACGUUUUCUAGGCCAUAAGGAUUUAAAACCUGCCAAUGCCGCUGGAAAACAAUAUAAAAUAUUCUGUAAUGGAAUUUGAAGACAGGGCAAGAUGACAUAGUGUAGUCAGUCUUGUUCUUGUGGAAGGGCAGGUAAACUUUGUGUUUCUUCUUUUUUGAAGAAGAAGAAGAUUAGCCCUGAGCUAUC